RNAcentral lists this long non-coding RNA (313 nucleotides) under Lotus japonicus. Its description in RNAcentral is "long non-coding RNA (LJAP_LNC000158)". The record is from RNAcentral. Lineage: Eukaryota; Viridiplantae; Streptophyta; Magnoliopsida; Fabales; Fabaceae.
UUAGAGGAGUAAAGUUCUCAAAAGAAUCAAUAGAAGGGUGGUGGGGGAGGAGAAGCGUACGAGAUGCUGACCACAGGUGGUAAAGGCCCUUCAUAUACAGGGGCAGGUGGUGGUUGAUAAUGAACUGGGGGUGGUGGUGAAGCAUAAACAUAGGCUGGUGGUGGUGGAGGAGAAACAUAGGCUGGUGGUGUAUAAUGAACUGGGGAAGGUGGUGGCAGGUAAGGUGCAGGGUGUGGUGAGGGUGGUGGAGGUGAGUGUUCUUCACAUGGUGGUGGAGAUGAUGGUGGUGGUGGUGGUGGGGGUUCUAUACAAG